RNAcentral lists this ribosomal RNA (416 nucleotides) under uncultured bacterium. Its description in RNAcentral is "partial 16S ribosomal RNA". The record is from RNAcentral.
CACAGAGUUAGCCGAUGCUUAUUCCCCGGAUACCGUCAUUGCUUCUUCUCCGGGAAAAGAAGUUCAUGACCUGUAGGCCUCCUACCUUCACGCGGCAUUGCUCCGUCAGGCUUUCGCCCAUUGCGGAAAAUUCCCCACUGCUGCCUCCCGUAGGAGUCUGGGCCGUGUCUCAGUCCCAGUGUGGCUGAUCAUCCUCUCGGACCAGCUACUGAUCAUCGCUUGGUAAGCUAUUGCCUCACCAACUAGCUAAUCAGACGCGACGCCCCUCCGUCGGGCGGACUUUCCUCCUUUUCGCUCCUCACGCCGUACGGGGUAUUAGCAGUCCGUUUCCAGUCUUGUUCCGUUCCCCCUACCCGUAAGGGUACGGUUUCUUACGUCGUUUACCUCACCCCGUCCGCCACGUACGGAAACCACCC